Molecule: ribosomal RNA, 300 nt
Filed under: Aeromonas sp.
Lineage: Bacteria; Pseudomonadati; Pseudomonadota; Gammaproteobacteria; Aeromonadales; Aeromonadaceae
Rfam family: Bacterial small subunit ribosomal RNA
Source: RNAcentral
UACGGGGGAAAGCAGGGGACCUUCGGGCCUUGCGCGAUUGGAUAUGCCCAGGUGGGAUUAGCUUGUUGGUGAGGUAAUGGCUCACCAAGGCGACGAUCCCUAGCUGGUCUGAGAGGAUGAUCAGCCACACUGGAACUGAGACACGGUCCAGACUCCUACGGGAGGCAGCAGUGGGGAAUAUUGCACAAUGGGGGAAACCCUGAUGCAGCCAUGCCGCGUGUGUGAAGAAGGCCUUCGGGUUGUAAAGCACUUUCAGCGAGGAGGAAAGGUUGAUGCCUAAUACGCAUCAGCUGUGACGUU